GAUGAACGCUGGCGGCGUGCUUAACACAUGCAAGUCGAACGGAAAGGCCAGUGCUUGCACAGGUACUCGAGUGGCGAGAGGGUGAGUAACACGUGGGAGAUCUGACUUGUACUUCGGGAUAAGCCUGGGAAACUGGGUAUAAUACGGGAUAGGACAGUGGUUUGGGUGGGGUUGUGGAAGGGUUUUGCGGUGUGGGAUGAGCGGGCGGGCGUUCAGCUUAUUGGUGGGGUAAUGGCGGACCAGGGGGUCGACGGGUAGGCGGCCCGAGAAGGUGGACGGUCACAUUGGGACUGAGAUACGGCCCAGACUCCCACGGGAGGCAGCAGUGGGGAAGAUUGCACCAUGGUCGCGAGCCUGAUGCAGCGACGCCGCGGGGGUGAUGACGGCCUCCGCGUUGUAAACUCCUUUCGCUACGUGCGUAGCGUGUUUGUGACGGUACCUGGAGAAGAAGCACCGGCUAACUACGUG
This 468-nucleotide ribosomal RNA is filed under the name uncultured bacterium. Its description in RNAcentral is "partial 16S ribosomal RNA". It matches the Rfam family "Bacterial small subunit ribosomal RNA", at positions 28 to 507 of the family's 1533-position model. The record is from RNAcentral.